RNAcentral lists this ribosomal RNA (471 nucleotides) under uncultured bacterium. RNAcentral's name for it is "partial 16S ribosomal RNA". It matches the Rfam family "Bacterial small subunit ribosomal RNA", at positions 28 to 507 of the family's 1533-position model. The record is from RNAcentral.
GACGAACGCUGGCGGCGUGCUUAACACAUGCAAGUCGAACGAUGAAGCGGUGCUUGCACCGUGGAUUAGUGGCGAACGGGUGAGUAAUACGUGAGUGACCUACCUUUGACUCUGGGAUAAGCCUGGGAAACUGGGUCUAAUACCGGAUACGACCAAUCUCUGCAUGGGGUGUUGGUGGAAAGCGUUAUGGGGUGGUUUUAGAUGGGCUCACGGCCUAUCAGCUUGUUGGUGAGGUAAUGGCUUACCAAGGCGACGACGGGUAGCCGGCCUGAGAGGGUGACCGGCCACAAUGGGACUGAGACACGGCCCAGACUCCUACGGGAGGCAGCAGUGGGGAAUAUUGCACAAUGGGCGCAAGCCUGAUGCAGCGACGCCGCGUGAGGGAUGACGGCCUUCGGGUUGUAAACCUCUGUUAGCAUCGAAGAAGCGAAAGUGACGGUAGGUGCAGAGAAAGCGCCGGCUAACUACGUG